UGGUGGAGUGAUUUGUCUGGUUAAUUCCGUUAACGAACGAGACCUCGACCUACUAAAUAGGUUGCGUGAAGUCUUUGAUUUCCGUCAACACUUCUUAGAGGGACUAUCGGUGUGUAGCCGAUGGAAGUUCGAGGCAAUAACA
Molecule: ribosomal RNA, 142 nt
Filed under: uncultured eukaryote
Lineage: Eukaryota
Description: partial 18S ribosomal RNA
Rfam family: Eukaryotic small subunit ribosomal RNA
Source: RNAcentral